Non-coding RNA from Lolium perenne, 2445 nucleotides. The record is from RefSeq and is a predicted model, not a curated record. Lineage: Eukaryota; Viridiplantae; Streptophyta; Magnoliopsida; Poales; Poaceae.
UACUCUGACAAGCAAACUGCUGGAAAACAGGUAUACACUGAUGGACCAGCGUACGAUCGUACCCCGUGGCCCACGAUACAGUAACGACCGGGCGACGGCGAGUUUGCCUCGGAGGAGCUGGACGCACGGAACAAAUCUGAAAGGAUUUACCUGGACGGCUGGACAGAAAAGACGAUUUGGAGGGCAGGAGUAGGCCACAACACUCCAGAAGCAAUUCGAUUCCUCUCCGUGUUCUUGAUUCCGGCGACUCACCCGGCGGUUGGGCGUGCAGUGCAGGCGACUGGGCGAACGGUGGCGGGACCUUUGACCUGCAACAGCUAGCGGCAACCCCCCAACGACGGCUAUGGGAUUUCGGUAAGUGAAUGAGAUUUACUCUGAUUCGAAACUGAGGAUGUCAAAUUUGUCCCGGAUUGCGAGCGGGAUGAUUUCUGUUUGUCAUUGUAUUGUGGCAAAUGUAUAAGGGCACCAACGAUGCUUCCGCAAGCAGUGAUGCAGCGGCGGAAGAUGGUGCGUGCAGCCAUGUCGGGUCAUUGGAACCUGAUGCAUCCGUGCAGUAGCUGCUGCCCGCGGCGGAGAUGGUGAAGGCAGGCUGAUUGACUCAGCGCAGUGCAAUGUGAAUAAGACUGAAGCAAGAGGGUACGGGUGGGUCAAGGACCGCCAGACUGGGCAUGGUGUCCUUCGAGUUCCCUUCAGAAGUCGAUAUGUCUACGCAGAAAAGUUAGGCCACAAUGUCAUAAAUCCUUGCCGUGGUACAAGGUAUGGUGCGCGUGCUCUUUUAAAAAAUAUCUGUUUUUGCACGAGCGGACUAGGCCUUACGAGCAGAUGGAAGGGCUCCAGGAAAGACAACAUCCGUUGCUUGUAGGCUUUGUUAGGCAGGCAAGAUGUCAGAUCAUCUAUAUUUGAGGGUUUUUAUCUAGACAGCGGGGCAUGCACGAAACAUAUGAGUGGGUGGAUAAUCCACAGGGACAUUGUGUUCCGCAGGGAUGCCAGAGGUUAAGAGAGCUGAUUGGUGAGGAAGUUGGAGCAAGGAAACAGGACGCCGUGAUCCAAGUGAUCUCGGAGAUGAAUGUGCCUCUUGGUGAGGCCAGUCUGAAUGAGGAACACAAAGCAACUAUCCUAGAUGAUAUUAUGGAAGGUGUGGGGGCACAGAAAAAAGAACUGCUGCAGAAACUUGUGGCGUGUUUAUACCCAUCUAGAGCUGAUGGUGAUACACGAGAUGUUCAUGCCAGAUGGGGAUCAUCAGGGCAGAGAGGGCCAACAAAUGCUGCAGGUAGCAGCAGGGCUGCUGCAAGGCCAGGAUGUUCGGCUAAUUUGCAGUCAGACGAAAGGAAGCAGCCCAUGGAGGAGGCAGAAGAAGAUGUUUGCAUGCGUGGUGAACAUGACGCAGAAGAAGUGAUCCUAGGAUAAGAUGAUUAGUUGAUUACAGCUUCAUCCUACUAGGAUGUUCAAAUAACCAUCAAGCGCUGGGUGGCCCUGUUGGAUGGGAUGCACAUGGAGAGGCAAUGGCUGCCAAUGCAAACGCAGGGGUUCCAGCUAUGGUCGUCGAUGUUGUCGUGGCCACCGCCGUAGCCAUGGCUCGGGUAGCCCAAGUCACCCCCGCUCUGCGCCGUGGGUCAAACCCCGAAGCGCCGAUGGAUCUCGUAGAUUGGGAGGGAGGAGAAAUCGGCAGCGGUGGAUCUCGUCGUUCCACGCGAGGGCACCCACCGCGAGUUGAGCAGCCAACCUCCGGGCAGGUUGACGUUCGUCCACGGCACUGGGCGCUCUUCCUCGUACAACUUGCGAUCAUAGCCAAUGGGGACGUAACGUUGGUCCCUCUCCUUUCGGCGGCUUCCACGCAACGAGCCCACCUCGUGGUCGUUCUUCAUCCUCCAAAAUGGCUAGGACUUGCCCGUGGCGGCGCUUGGUCUAUAGUCCGUGGAGGUGAACAUGGGGGAGGUGGCAAUGGCGUGGAUGAAAAUGUGCGCGGUCACUCGCCUCAAAAGGCAUGGGUGCACGCCUUCCCUUCAAUGCCUGACGCGGAAGUCCAACGCUGCCCACUAGCAAUAGCGCAUAGAAGCCGAAGUGGGGACCACUAACGCAGCGCGAAGGACACAUCAACACCGCCCGCCAGUACUUUGUGUGGAGAAGGUGAAGCGGGCACGGGGCACUGAUAGGUGGGCCCACGGAACAUGACACGAACACGGGCAGUCCCUACCGCGUCUGCAGCUGUGUCCGCGGUGACGCAUUCGCAGCCUAAAUUUAGGUUAAGGGCAUCUCCAACGGGGCGACGCAAAUCGGUGUCCACGUGCGUCUGUUUGCGUCGCGCGGCGGACGCGAAAAAGACCGUUUUUGUCCACGCGUCCGUUUGUACCCGGGGGUGCCUCCAGCGGCCCGACGCAUUUCCGCGUCGGCAUAUGAUGUUUGAAAACAACAAAAUAAAGAGUUUCAACGAAGUCAUAGCUAUUA